UACGUAGGGGGCAAGCGUUACUCGGAAUUACUGGGCGUAAAGGGUGAGUAGGCGGCUGGGCAAGUCAAGGAUGAAAUCCCGAGGCUCAACUUCGGAACCGUCCUUGAAACUGCUCAGCUUGAGGGUAGUUGAGGAGAGUGGAAUUCCCGGUGGAGCGGUGAAAUGCGUAGAUAUCGGGAGGAACACCUGAGGCGAAGGCGGCUCUCUAAGCUACUCCUGACGCUGAAUCACGAAAGCUAGGGGAGCAAACGGGAUUAGAUACCCCGGUAGUCCUAGCCGUAAACGAUGGACACUAGAUAUUCCGGCGUUUUCGCUGGAGUGUCGUAGCUAACGCGUUAAGUGUCCCGCCUGGGGAGUACGGUCGCAAGGCUGAA
RNAcentral lists this ribosomal RNA (374 nucleotides) under uncultured bacterium. Its description in RNAcentral is "bacterial SSU rRNA". It matches the Rfam family "Bacterial small subunit ribosomal RNA", at positions 524 to 898 of the family's 1533-position model. RNAcentral also lists the same sequence under 1 other name. The record is from RNAcentral.